Stomoxys calcitrans (stable fly) is the source of this 766-nucleotide long non-coding RNA. RefSeq lists it as uncharacterized. Lineage: Eukaryota; Metazoa; Arthropoda; Insecta; Diptera; Muscidae. The transcript is spliced from 4 exons. The record is from RefSeq and is a predicted model, not a curated record.
AUCAAUCUCUUGAAAACUUUUGAUUUAAUAAGAUGCAUUUCUUCCAAAUAUUUUUGAGUUUAAUGGUGAUUUCUUUGGUGUCGGCUCGUGAUUGCGUAAUGUAUUGUGGCAUGACUUUCAAUCCUGUAUGUGGUCAGUAUCCCGAUGGUCACCUGCACACUUUCUUUAAUCAGUGCAUGAGAAUUCUGACAGCUUGUUUUGAAAGAAAAGAUAUUGUUGAACUCUACAGUGGUUUUUGCUAAAUGUCAUGUUCUGGGAAAGCAUCUUAGAACAAUUUAAUUUGUGUUUGUUUGUUUGUUUUUUCCUUAUAGACUCAAAAACGGCUGUACCGAUUACCUUGAAAUUUUCACAGUUUGUCUAGGUUGGUCUGGAAGGAAACAUAGGCUAUAUACAUUUUUGAUAUCGGGAGGGGGCGGACCUUCCCCCUUACCCCAAAAGCACUACACAAAAAUAGAAGUGGACAGAUCGGGACAAUAUGGGAUUCAAAUGAAAGGUAUUCAAGAGAAGAGUACGAAUUUCAUAAUAAAAGUUGGGUUCCAGUACCUGGAGGACCGCACCAGCCCCAAAACACCAAAAAUAGGUUUAAUUGAAGAUCAUGACAAUAUGGGACUCAAAUGAAAGUGCAAAGUGCCGGUGUCCGCCCCAGCCCUAAAACACCCUCCAAACGGUUCACAUUUACCGGCCAUGGCAAUAUGGGGCUCAAAUUAAAGGAAUUUGGAAGUGCAUAUUUGAGUCGAAAUGCCUGAGGUGCCAUUCCUCCCCUAAU